CUGGAAAAUCAGAGGGAUAAAUAAAGAAUGCAGCUGAUUCCUGCCUUGUGCUGACGCCCAAGAGGGUGAGGAGAGCCAUGAGGCAUGUGGGAUCUUAGCUUCCUGCCCAGAGAUCAAACCGGCACCCCCUGCGUUGGAAGGCGAAGUCUUAACCACUGAACCACCAGGUUCACGUACACACUUCUACAACGUCUAACAUGCCGUGGAAGUUUGACUCAUUGCCCUAGUCUGAGCUGCACUGAGAAAGACCCUCGGCUUCGCAUUCCAUCUAGGACCUCCUGCCUGAAUUCAUCCUGCCUCCAGGAGAAAGUCGGCUUGCGUUCUGACUGCAACUAAAGCCCAGUUCCUCGUGGAACACUGCAGGCUUUUGAAGAGCCACAGGCCCGGAGGCCUAGCUGGGGCGUUCCUUGGUUGAGGCGGUUCACUAGAUGCAGAACACCGUGCUUCGAUGAGUUGAUUCAGGGAAGGAACCACUGGGUAACCUGUGUCUCUCUGGACUUGUUAGAAAGCACAGGGAUGUAUGCUGCGUGUGCCCAUGGAAAUGGGGGCCUGAUGGAACUAGCCUUGCUUUCCCAUUUGGAAAGCUCCAUUCAUGCUGCCUUGAAGCUACUUGAAAUUGACUGCUGUUGACAGGCCACUAGCCACUGUACGCAUGGCUCUGGGAAGAAAAUGAGUUUUCUCUAGCUAAACCGGGUGCUUCCAUGGCCGGGGUGGAGCUCAUCCUGCCAUGCUCCAGAGCUAAAGGGAAACUCAACGUGAGUACUGGCCUCGAGGUAAGGCCCUGAGUAGCCGUGCAGAAAGGGAGGCAUGCAGCUGUUUCCAUGAGGUCUUAGUCGCUGUUGUGCUUUAUUUUAAAGGAAGUACCCUUUUCAGGACUCCUAGGCCCCUCGUGUGUGCAUCAUUUUCCCUCCAAGAUCACUGAGUACCUCCAGACCGCUGUGGGCCUGCUGAGCAACAUCGAGACCCAUAGGUCGGUCCCUCGGAGGCCCUCUGGGUAUGCCGAGCAAAGGGCAACAUGCUACACUCUUCCUUAAGAGAACUAGAUUUCCUCAGCACUCCAACAGCUUUAGGAAAACGUUUCUAGCCCGUCUAACACGCCAUGGAAUUGUGCCUCAUUGCCCUAUUGUGAGCUGCACUGAAAAAGCACUGUGCUAAGCAUUCCUUCUAGGACCUCCUGCCUGAAGUCACCCUGCCUCCAGGAGAACGUCGGCUCGCGUUCCAACUGCAAGGAAAGCACAGUUCUUCGUGUAACACUGCAGGCUUUUGGAGCAAGCACAGGCCCGGAGGCCUAACUCAGGCAUUCCUUAGUUGAGGCAGUUCACUACACACAGAACACCCCGUGUAGAAACGCUGAUUCAGGGAAGUGCCCAGUGUGUAGCUCGUGUCUCUUUUCACUUGUUAGAAAGCACGUGUAAGUGUGCUGCGUGUCCGCCGGGAAAUGGGUGCCUGACGGCAGAAGCCAUUUCAUCAGAGGUGUUGGGAGUGUGUAGAGGCGUUAUAUUCCUGUUGUGUGUCCUGCAGGCAUCCCAUGAAAGACCAGAAUCUAGGUCAACUUGGGCAAGCCACUUAACUGAGCCUCAGCUUUCUUUAUUUGUAAGGUGGGCACCACAGCGCUUCCCUCCCGUAUUCAUGGCGAUAACCUGGCAACAAACGUACACCAUGUGGCCCCACUUUGAAAUCUUUAAAGAGGUCUGCCAAUAAAAGUGUCUGUAGGUUGUACCUUCCCUGCAAUGACACACCUGGUCCAAGGUGGAGAGGUUUCAGGAGUGAGCAGUUUGCCCUUCAAAUGAAUGGACAGAGCUCAGCCAGCGGCGCCCCUUCACUGAGACCCUGGCUGCCGAGGUACACACUUUCCAUGUAUCCAGGCUAGUUUCAGAUGGAGACUGAGAGGGAAAAUAGGCAGGUGUAAGGAUGCAAUCCUCAAAUCUUUGGUUUCAAAUAAUCCAUCCCAAACUGCUACCCGAGCCCCCCAGUAUCAAAAAGGAAACAUGUUAUAGACCCAGAAAAAUGUGUUUCCCAAAAGACCUAGGUUUGCCCUCAUAGUCAUCAGUAUCUAAAAUAGAAGUAGCAGUACACUUAAAAUCUUAAACUUCUAUGUAUUUAGGGACCAAAGGCAUUUUCAUCAGAAAGAAAAGGGAUUUAAUAAUGAAACCACAGAGAGAUAAAUUGUUUUCAAGCCCCUGAUAAGAGAGGGGAGAAAUGUCAACCUCGUGGGAGUUGCAGAAUCAGCAGUUAGGAUUUUUGGAUGCCAACUCUGGUGGAGAAGAGACUCCAGCCUGUACCCUCCCCACCCACCCUCCCCGGUAUGCCUGGUUAGGAGGUGAGUCCUGCAGGCACGGUGGCCCCUGGGCUGGCCGGAGCGGCAGGAUGAGUGCAGGGGUUCCUGAACAGAACAGUUUACCCUCCCUCCCCAGAGACACCUAGCAAUGUCUGGAGGGUGGGCUAGUGGCAGGUGGCCAGGGACGCUGCUAAACACACUACAAUGCCCAGGACAAAGCCCACCACAGAGAACGAUUCAGCCCAGAAUGUCAGCAGUGCUGAGGAUGAGAAACCUAUGUAUGUGGUAAUGCUGGCCUCCAGGAGAAGUUCAGGAGACAGCCCAACCCUCUUCCUGCCCACAAGGGGGGGAUGGUCCUCUCCUGUAGCUUGCUCCAAUUUAAGGACCUUUUGCUGUCCGCUGUUGGUGAGUGACCCGGUGCCCUGGCUUUAGGAGUCGGGGCCUGAGGGCCUCGUUAGCUCCCCGAAUUCUGUGCACUCAGAGUGCGCUUUACCCCCACGCUCCCUGCUGUUGUAGAGCAGGGUCUGAAAAGCCAGAGGGAGUGGCUGCUGGAUUUGGUGCUAGCAGGCUUGGUCUUGGCGUCACUGGUAAUGUACAGGGUGAUAUUUGGGGUAGAAAGAGACAAAUUAGGCCGAUUCGUAGCGAGGUGGUGGCUGCUCUGCGGAACGCCCCUGAGUUGCGAGGUUCUGGGACCGCUGAUCAGUAGCAGAGGUGU
Long non-coding RNA from Eubalaena glacialis (North Atlantic right whale), 2993 nucleotides. RefSeq lists it as uncharacterized. The record is from RefSeq and is a predicted model, not a curated record. Lineage: Eukaryota; Metazoa; Chordata; Mammalia; Artiodactyla; Balaenidae. The transcript has 3 exons.